RNAcentral lists this ribosomal RNA (254 nucleotides) under uncultured bacterium. Its description in RNAcentral is "partial 16S ribosomal RNA". It matches the Rfam family "Bacterial small subunit ribosomal RNA", at positions 524 to 776 of the family's 1533-position model. The record is from RNAcentral.
UACGGAGGGUGCAAGCGUUGUCCGGAAUGAUUGGGCGUAAAGCGCACGUAGGCGGUCUUUUAAGUCUCAUGGUGAAAGGCUGGGGCUCAACCCCAAGCAGGCCGGGGAUACUGGGAGACUGGAGACAGGUAGAGGCGAGCGGAAUUCCGGGUGUAGCGGUGGAAUGCGUAGAGAUCCGGAAGAACACCGGAGGCGAAGGCGGCUCGCUGGACCUGAUCUGACGCUGAGGUGCGAAAGCGUGGGGAGCGAACAGG